This 238-nucleotide ribosomal RNA is filed under the name uncultured Eubacteriales bacterium. RNAcentral describes it as "uncultured Clostridiales bacterium partial 16S ribosomal RNA". It matches the Rfam family "Bacterial small subunit ribosomal RNA", at positions 100 to 339 of the family's 1533-position model. The record is from RNAcentral. Lineage: Bacteria; Bacillati; Bacillota; Clostridia; Eubacteriales.
GGACGGGUGAGUAACGCGUAAGCAAUCUGCCUCUGUGAGUGGAAUAACAGCUGGAAACGGCUGCUAAUACCGCAUGACGCAACGGAACCGCAUGAUUCUGUUGCCAAAGAUUUAUCGCACGGAGAUGAGCUUGCGUCCGAUUAGAUAGUUGGCGGGGUAACGGCCCACCAAGUCGACGAUCGGUAGCCGGACUGAGAGGUUGAACGGCCACAUUGGAACUGAGAACGGUCCAGACUCC